This 549-nucleotide ribosomal RNA is filed under the name uncultured archaeon. RNAcentral describes it as "bacterial SSU rRNA". It matches the Rfam family "Archaeal small subunit ribosomal RNA", at positions 326 to 879 of the family's 1478-position model. The record is from RNAcentral.
CGGGGUGCAGCAGGCGCGAAAACUUUGCAAUGCGGGAAACCGUGACAAGGGAACUCUGAGUGCCCGUAAAAUCGGGCUGUCCAUCGGUUUAAAUAACCGGUGAAGAAAGGGCCGGGCAAGACCGGUGCCAGCCGCCGCGGUAAUACCGGCGGCUCGAGUGGUGGCCACUAUUACUGGGCUUAAAGCGUUCGUAGCUGGUCUGUUAAGUCUCUGGGGAAAUCUUCCGGCUUAACCGGAAGGCGUCUCAGGGAUACUGGCAGACUAGGGACCGGGAGAGGUGAGAGGUACUCCAGGGGUAGGAGUGAAAUCCUGUAAUCCUUGGGGGACCACCUGUGGCGAAGGCGUCUCACCAGAACGGCUCCGACAGUGAGGGACGAAAGCUGGGGGAGCAAACCGGAUUAGAUACCCGGGUAGUCCCAGCUGUAAACGAUGCGCGUUAGGUGUAUCGGUGACCACGAGUCACCGAGGUGCCGAAGAGAAAUCGUGAAACGUGCCGCCUGGGAAGUACGGUCGCAAGGCUGAAACUUAAAGGAAUUGGCGGGGGAGCAC